This 433-nucleotide ribosomal RNA is filed under the name uncultured bacterium. RNAcentral describes it as "partial 16S ribosomal RNA". It matches the Rfam family "Bacterial small subunit ribosomal RNA", at positions 29 to 507 of the family's 1533-position model. The record is from RNAcentral.
AACGAACGCUGGCGGCAUGCCUAACACAUGCAAGUCGAACGAGACCUUCGGGUCUAGUGGCGCACGGGUGCGUAACGCGUGGGAACCUGCCCUUAGGUUCGGAAUAACUCCCCGAAAGGGGUGCUAAUACCGGAUAAUGUCUUCGGACCAAAGAUUUAUCGCCUUUGGAUGGGCCCGCGUUGGAUUAGCUAGUUGGUAGGGUAAAAGCCUACCAAGGCGACGCUCCAUAGCUGGUCUGAGAGAAUGAUCAGCCACACUGGGACUGGGACACGGCCCAGAAUCCUGCGGGAGGCAGCAGUGGGGAAUAUUGGACAAUGGGCGAAAGCCUGAUCCAGCAAUGCCGGGUGAGUGAUGAAGGCCUUAGAGUUGUAAAGCUCUUUUACCCGGGAUGAUAAUGACAGUACCGGGAGAAUAAGCACCGGCUAACUCCGUG